Molecule: long non-coding RNA, 204 nt
Filed under: Bos taurus (domestic cattle)
Lineage: Eukaryota; Metazoa; Chordata; Mammalia; Artiodactyla; Bovidae
Description: long non-coding RNA NONBTAT009081
Source: RNAcentral
CAUUUUCUGAACCUAAAUCAUGGGCAACAAUCAUCAGAUGACUAUGCGCCCAACCAGGCUGCUGCUACCAUCUAGAUCUCUGACUGACUAAUUUUAAAGUUAUUAUACACCAAGUAAGAGACGUAGGCACUUGAUCCAGAUGCAAGGGGUGGAACUUGUGCAUCUAGAUGCUACGAACCAACUGUGAAAGGACAUGGGACAAUG